GAUGAACGCUGGCGGCGUGCCUAAUACAUGCAAGUCGAGCGAAUGGAUUAAGAGCUUGCUCUUAUGAAGUUAGCGGCGGACGGGUGAGUAACACGUGGGUAACCUGCUCAUAAGACUGGGAUAACUCCGGGAAACCGGGGUUAAUGCCGGAUAUCAUUUUGAACCGCCUGGCUCGCAACUGAAAGGCUGCUUGGGCUGUUACUUAUGCACGGACCCGCGUCGCAUUAGCUAGUUGGUGAGGUAACGGCUCACCAAGGCAACGGUGCGUAGCCGACCUGAGAGGGUGAUCGGCCACACUGGGACUGAGACACGGCCCAGACUCCUACGGGAGGCAGCCGUAGGGAAUCCUCCGCAAUGGACGAAGGUCUGACGGAGCAACGCCGCGUGAGUGAUGAAGGCUUUCGGGUCGUAAAACUCUGUUGUUAGGGAAGAACAAGUGCUAGUUGAAUAAGCUGGCACCUUGACGGUACCUAACCAGAAAGCCACGGCUAACUACGUGCCAGCCGCCGCCGUAA
This 515-nucleotide ribosomal RNA is filed under the name uncultured bacterium. RNAcentral's name for it is "partial 16S ribosomal RNA". It matches the Rfam family "Bacterial small subunit ribosomal RNA", at positions 28 to 523 of the family's 1533-position model. The record is from RNAcentral.